GUAGGUGGCAAGCGUUGUCCGGGAAUUAUUGGGGCGUAAAGCGCGCGCAGGCGGUCCUUUAAGUCUGAUGUGAAAGCCCACGGGCUCAACCGUGGAGGGUCAUUGGAAACUGGGGGACUUGAGUACAGAAGAGGAAAGCGGAAUUCCACGUGUAGCGGUGAAAUGCGUAGAGAUGUGGAGGAACACCAGUGGCGAAGGCGGCUUUCUGGUCUGUAACUGACGCUGAGGCGCGAAAGCGUGGGGAGCAAACAGGAUUAGAUACCCUGGUAGUCCACGCCGUAAACGAUGAGUGCUAAGUGUUAGGGGGUUUCCGCCCCUUAGUGCUGCAGCUAACGCAUUAAGCACUCCGCCUGGGGAGUACGGCCGCAAAGGCUGA
This 376-nucleotide ribosomal RNA is filed under the name uncultured organism. RNAcentral describes it as "partial 16S ribosomal RNA". It matches the Rfam family "Bacterial small subunit ribosomal RNA", at positions 527 to 897 of the family's 1533-position model. The record is from RNAcentral.